UCUUUCUAUAAUAAUAUUCAAGAUAAUAACCAAAAUCUGCAAUAUUUUUCUCAAAUAACUAAUUUCGGGGCAGCAACCCAAUAACUGGUUGUCCAAUUUGUGUGAAAGUUUCAGGGCAGAUAGAUCUUGACCUAAAAGACAAUUUAAACACAUGUCAGAUUUGCUCUAAAUGUAAUGAUUGUGUCCAAGUUUGGUUAAAUUUGGCCCAGUAGUUUCAGAGGAGAAGAUUUUUGUAAAAGUUUAUGGACGACGGACCCCAGACCCCGGACAACGGACCCCAG
Molecule: long non-coding RNA, 281 nt
Filed under: Mytilus galloprovincialis (Mediterranean mussel)
Lineage: Eukaryota; Metazoa; Mollusca; Bivalvia; Mytilida; Mytilidae
Source: RNAcentral